GAUGAACGCUGGCGGUAUGCUUAACACAUGCAAGUCGAACGGACUCUUCGGAGUUAGUGGCGGACGGGUGAGUAACGCGUGAGAAUCUGGCUUUGGGUUCGGGACAACCACUGGAAACGGUGGCUAAUACCGGAUGUGCCGAGGGGUAAAAGAGAAAUUGCCUGAAGAUGAGCUCGCGUCUGAUUAGCUAGUUGGUGAGGUAAAGGCUCACCAAGGCAGCGAUCAGUAGCUGGUCUGAGAGGAUGACCAGCCACACUGGGACUGGGACACGGCCCAGACUCCUACGGGAGGCAGCAGUGGGGAAUUUUCCGCAAUGGGCGAAAGCCUGACGGAGCAAUACCGCGUGAGGGAAGAAGGCUCUUGGGUUGUAAACCUCUUUUCUUAGGGAAGAACAAAAUGACGGUACCUAAGGAAUCAGCAUCGGCUAACUCCGUG
RNAcentral lists this ribosomal RNA (435 nucleotides) under uncultured bacterium. RNAcentral describes it as "partial 16S ribosomal RNA". It matches the Rfam family "Bacterial small subunit ribosomal RNA", at positions 28 to 507 of the family's 1533-position model. The record is from RNAcentral.